RNAcentral lists this small nuclear RNA (143 nucleotides) under Suricata suricatta (meerkat). RNAcentral describes it as "U2 spliceosomal RNA (ENSSSUG00005010162.1)". It matches the Rfam family "U2 spliceosomal RNA". From Rfam's summary of the family: U2 is a small nuclear RNA (snRNA) component of the spliceosome (involved in pre-mRNA splicing). Complementary binding between U2 snRNA (in an area lying towards the 5' end but 3' to hairpin I) and the branchpoint sequence (BPS) of the intron results the bulging out of an unpaired adenosine, on the BPS, which initiates a nucleophilic attack at the intronic 5' splice site, thus starting the first of two transesterification reactions that mediate splicing. Lineage: Eukaryota; Metazoa; Chordata; Mammalia; Carnivora; Herpestidae. The record is from Rfam by way of RNAcentral.
AUUGCUUCUCAGCUUUUAGGCUAAGAUCAAGUGUAGUAUCUGUUCUUAUCAGCGUAAAAGAUCUUUUCAUUCUUACGUGAAGCCAGCUACACAUUGUCAUCAUGUGUUUCUUAAUGCAUGUUUGAUUUGUUUUUCUACUCUUU